This is a long non-coding RNA of Bos taurus (domestic cattle), 1318 nucleotides long. NCBI's taxonomy places the organism in Eukaryota, Metazoa, Chordata, Mammalia, Artiodactyla, Bovidae. The record is from Ensembl.
AUGAACGUCAUAUGGGUGUGGGCUGUGGGUUAAGAACUGUACAUACAUUUUAAUUCCAGAUGUACCCUUCAGAUUGGCAUGACUUCUAUAAAGUUACUUUAACUUUUCAGAGCCUAAAACAUAUCAUCCAUGAGAUCCAUUUUAUUCAGCAAAUAAAUUUUUAGAAAAUAUUCAUUAAUCUCUUAGUAUGGCCACAUUGUACUACAUGCUGGGGACAUACAUAUUGUAUUUGCUCUCAAGGUACCUAAAGUGAAGCUGAGGACAAUGUGCCCAUUUAUAAUUACACACUUGAAUGUGGCAAGGUGGCCCGUCAAGUGUGUUUACAUGAGCCGAUGGAAGCAUAAGAGGGGCAAUCAAAUCUGCCUCCCUUAGUGGGUGUCCAGGGGAAAGCAAUGUCUGCCCUAGUUGUGAGAGUAGGGAGGAGUUGGAGAAAAGUUACUCUAGGUAAGGGCUUCCCUGGUGAUUCUUUCUCAGAUGAGCCACAAGGGAAGCCCAUUGUCCUCAGAAGUUCCUCUUUAUUGUGAGUUAGAGAACAAUGAGUCAAAAUAGUAUUUAAACAAACAUAAUUGUAAAUGAUUUGAAUAUCAUAUGUUUCUCUGAAAAGUAUUUCUUAUUGCUAACAGAAGAAAUUUGGAUGAAAGAAGAAAUGUUUGCGCACCAAAAGUAAACAACAAAAAUCCACCCAAAACCCUGAACAAAAACAAGAACUGAAGCUCAGAAUCAGACUUUCUUGCUAAAGAGAGAAAGGCCUCUUUAGCCAUUUGGAAAAAACUGAUAUAGCUAUGAGUUUUACAUGAGUGAAAUAGCUCAGAAAUACAAUUGUAUCAAAUGUGAACUUUCUCCUUGUUAGAGUCUGUUAAGAAGAAUCUGAUAGUAUGUUUGAACAUCAUCUUAAUUCUUAUAUUGUGCUCAACACAAGAGUACUUCUUACUGUCAUUUACAGCAGAUGGCAGUGUUUGUGAAAAGAAGCACCAUUAGAGCAGAGAAGUCACAUAUUAGAUAAUCUUCUCAAAAGUAGCUUCUUUUUGCUUCUUAAAAUAAAAGUGAACAUGAAUAAAGAUGUUCAAAUGAAUAAACAUGGCCCAAAAUGCAUAUCAGAUUGUAAUAAAAGCUCUCAGGGAAAAUGAGUCAAGAUAAGGGACAGGAAAUGCUAUGCUUUCAAAUUAAUGUAGCAGGAGUCAAAGAAGACUUCAGUGAGAAAUAUAUGCAUAUAUAUCCUUGUACUGAGCAUCCCUGAACUGUAUCCUCAGUGUCAAAACUCAAGAAAAUUAUGUCCAUCAACCAGAAAUUAUAGAACUGUCUUCAGUCUUAACUAUGC